GGAUGAGAUGGUGCGAGCAAUCGUUCGGACGGUACCUCCAGAAGCAGCCACGGCCAACUUCGUGCCAGCAGCCGCGGUAAUACGAAGGUGGCAAGCGUUGUUCGGAUUCACUGGGCGUACAGGGUGUGUAGGCGGUUUGGUAAGCCUUCUGUUAAAGCUUCGGGCCCAACCCGGAAAGCGCAGAGGGUACUGCCAGGCUAGAGGGUGGGAGAGGAGCGCGGAAUUCCCGGUGUAGCGGUGAAAUGCGUAG
Molecule: ribosomal RNA, 250 nt
Filed under: uncultured bacterium
Lineage: Bacteria
Description: partial 16S ribosomal RNA
Rfam family: Bacterial small subunit ribosomal RNA
Source: RNAcentral